UACGAGGGGGGCAAGCGUUGUUCGGAAUUAUUGGGCGUAAAGGGCGCGUAGGCGGCGCGGUAUGUCUCUUGUGAAAUCUCCGGGCUCAACUUGGAGUCUGCAAGGGAAACUGCCGUGCUUGAGUACUGGAGAGGUGAGUGGAAUUGCGAGUGUAGAGGUGAAAUUCGUAGAUAUUCGCAAGAACACCAGUGGCGAAGGCGGCUCACUGGCCCGGAACUGACGCUGAGACGCGAAAGCGUGGGGAGCAAACAGG
RNAcentral lists this ribosomal RNA (253 nucleotides) under uncultured bacterium. Its description in RNAcentral is "partial 16S ribosomal RNA". It matches the Rfam family "Bacterial small subunit ribosomal RNA", at positions 524 to 776 of the family's 1533-position model. The record is from RNAcentral.